GCCUCAUUAGCUCAGUGGUUAGAGCACUGGUCUUGUAAACCAGGGGUCCGCAGUUCAGUUCUCUGAUGGGGCU
RNAcentral lists this transfer RNA (73 nucleotides) under Paramuricea clavata. It matches the Rfam family "tRNA". Rfam says of the family: Transfer RNA (tRNA) molecules are approximately 80 nucleotides in length. The record is from Rfam by way of RNAcentral. Lineage: Eukaryota; Metazoa; Cnidaria; Anthozoa; Malacalcyonacea; Plexauridae.